Molecule: ribosomal RNA, 253 nt
Filed under: uncultured Clostridiales Family IV bacterium
Lineage: Bacteria; Bacillati; Bacillota; Clostridia; Eubacteriales; Eubacteriales Family IV. Incertae Sedis
Description: partial 16S ribosomal RNA
Rfam family: Bacterial small subunit ribosomal RNA
Source: RNAcentral
UACGUAGGGAGCAAGCGUUGUCCGGAUUUACUGGGUGUAAAGGGUGCGUAGGCGGCUUAGCAAGUCAGGCGUGAAAACUAUGGGCUUAACCCAUAGACUGCGUUUGAAACUGUUGAGCUUGAGUGAAGUAGAGGUAGGCGGAAUUCCCGGUGUAGCGGUGAAAUGCGUAGAGAUCGGGAGGAACACCAGUGGCGAAGGCGGCCUACUGGGCUUUAACUGACGCUGAGGCACGAAAGCAUGGGUAGCAAACAGG